CUCCAGGAAUGCUUCAGAGGAACAAGAGACAAAAUUAUUCCAUGUGACUCAGGCCCAGCCUGGCCCACACCCGCUGUCCCUCUGUGCCUGAGAAGCAGUGGUGGCCAUCGCCGUGCCCCUGAAGGACACAUCUUUUCAGGCUCUACUGUGGAAUGAGUUCGUGUCCACCGAUCCAACCAUGGCUUUCAUGAUUUUUUUUUUUUCACCUCAGCUAUCUUACCUUUUGCCCCUAUCUUUUCCAUCACUAAAGGCCUAACUUCUCUAGUUUAUAAGGCUCUGAUUAGAAGUUCUCUGUGAGCAUUUGCUCUCAGCGUCCCGGGUUGCCUUUGGAAGUCUCCCUUCAUCCUGCCUUCACAGUUCUGCGCAUGGCUGUUCAGGGUGUGAAUAAACACUCUCAGCCAGGGGUGGCAUGACAGUCCCAAGGGACAGGGUGCCUGGUACACAGUAGGAGCUCAAUAAGAGUUGCUGUUGUGUGGCCUUGGAUGAGUCACCUGCCCUCCCUGGGCACCACUUUUGCCAUCAGCUCUCAUUUUUGCUAAUAAUGAUGAUGGAGGAAAAAGACAAAGAGAAGGAAGAAGAGAACACUAAGAGACACAUACGAAAGAAGAUGUAGUACAUGAUAUAGUGGUUGGGGCAAAAGAAAGAAGAAAGAGAGGAGGAUGGAAAAGCCAACCUCGAAACGUAAGAACAUAACAAAGAAGAAGAUCUGCAGGACCACAGGAGUCCCACAGGCACCCCUACACCAAAGGGCUCCUGGAUUCCAAGUAUUUGCUACAUGGGAAGGAAAGUCCCCAGCCUUGUCUUUCCUUUAGCACAACAAUGGACCCCUCCUUCCACUCCUGGUAACAUGAGAGGUCACAUCUCAUCAUGUCUCAAGCAUGUCUUCUCAUGUCUCAUCGCCCUCCACCUUGCUAGAAGAGGGAUUUGUGAGAUUUAGGGUGUGGGAACCUGGCCUGGGAGAGUACUGAGAGAUUCGACACCCUUUAGUGCUGACUUCUGCCUCCCUCCAAAGAUCAGAGCCUCCACGUCAUGCUGAUGGCAAGAGCCAGAGCCUAGACUGAACACCAAGGGUCCUGAUUCCCCAGCUAGUUCUUCAUCCUAUCUCCCGACACCCUCUACUUAUGAAGGAACAGCUCUUAGCCCUUCCAUUUGGAGAGGGCUUCCAAGUCAUGCCCACAUUGACCAUUUUCAAUAAUUCACCCUGGGAAGUGGGUGUCGUCUCCUCAUUUUGCAGAUCAAGAAGCUGAAGCUCAGCAGGAUUAACUGACUUGCUCAAGUCUUGAAUUCUGCCUCUUUAAUACAUAGCUGAACCACUUCUUUAUGGCAAACUCUGCACCAUGCUGAGCUCAAAGUGGCUUAAAUUGGGUCUUGAGUCCUGAGUCGAGGGAAUGAUGCAUUGAUUCUUCCCUUGGUUCCUGGAAGUCUUCUAGCUCUAAGGAGACACUGGCUGCUGUCUUCAAGCUCUGUGACUUGUCUCUUCCCAGAGCACUGUGGAGGAACCUGGAGCCCCUGGUACCCACCUGCUUGACCUGGGGGCUACAGGAUAUGCCUUAGGCUGUGACUCUUAGGAUUCCAUAACAGCCUCAUCAGUACUUUGUGUGCCUGACUUCCAUCUUCCAGUCCUGGCCUGGGGGAAUCCAUUUUCCUACUGUUCCGGAGACUUCCACACUGAGUGUCCAGAGGGCUGAACUUCUACAGAGGGUUUUUUUCCUAUGGUAUGGGGAUACCAUGCCUGUAUAAGGUCUUGGCCCUGGAACUUUGGCUACCAAGAUGUCAAAAUCUCUUUAUAUUUGAGUCUUUAUAAAACCAAAGUUUCUUCCAGA
This is a non-coding RNA of Chlorocebus sabaeus (green monkey), 1823 nucleotides long. The record is from RefSeq and is a predicted model, not a curated record. Lineage: Eukaryota; Metazoa; Chordata; Mammalia; Primates; Cercopithecidae.